CCUCAGUCUGAGCCCAACAGCCGCUGUUUGUCUCAGUCCUACCGUACAGUCAACAGUGACCUGGAUAUGCAGCCAGUUCAAGACGCAUCGCUUUCCUCUCCUGUCUGCUGACUGGAUCCCUGGAGAGGGACAAAGUAACUGUUCAAUCCCAGAUUAUGACUGAUGAAGCAAAGAAGGUAACAAGCCUGGAACCUCCCUGACAGCACCCUCCAUCCUCCACUUGUCAGUGUCAGUGUUUUGAGUGGAUAGCAACACCAAUAAACGCGCCUACUCUUGGCGGCUUCACCACCCACAGCUGUACUGGGAGAGAGCUGUUUUACUCAGGAAGUCAGUUGCUUGGAGUCUAUUUGUCUUUUGUAAUUACCAUUCAAUAAAGAAAAACCCUUGGUAAUUAUCCUUGGC
This 402-nucleotide long non-coding RNA is filed under the name Dicentrarchus labrax (European seabass). RNAcentral describes it as "lncRNA (ENSDLAG00005031834.1)". Lineage: Eukaryota; Metazoa; Chordata; Actinopteri; Moronidae. The record is from RNAcentral.